UGCAAUGAAUCCCACGCUGAGC
This 22-nucleotide non-coding RNA is filed under the name Mus musculus (house mouse). Lineage: Eukaryota; Metazoa; Chordata; Mammalia; Rodentia; Muridae. The record is from RNAcentral.